AGCAGGGUAUCAACGAGAGUACAUGGGAAAUUGCCUUGCCAACGAGUUAGCUAAGAAAGCUUCUAGGAGUUACCAAAUUGUUGGGUCCCACAUGAUGAGGCAGAUUAAAAAUUCUACUAGGAAUAAGUCUCCCUCGAAAAAAGGAAUGCCAACCAUCCAAGAAGUACUUCAAAUACAGGAGGACGCUCUUGCACAGGUAAAACAGCUGUGGCAGGACCAGGGUUGUCUGUACGAUCCUGUCACUAACUUAUGGGUUACGCCUGCCGGACAGACUUGCAGGUCUGACGAGCUUGCGGUGUGGGUUAUUGAAUUUGUACACUUUGCAACUCAUUGUGGGGCCAAGGCUGUAAGUGAUAUGAUUUUAGAGACCUGGUGGCAUCCAAAACUUUUGACUUGUCCCAGCGUAUCAGCCAGCAAUGUCUGAUUUGCUAACAGCAUAAUCCAGGUAAAGGCUUGCCCUGUGAACCAGUUAAGACUCAUUUACCAUUUGAGACCUUUCAAAUGGACUACAUUGAGUUGGAAUGAU
Molecule: long non-coding RNA, 526 nt
Organism: Amblyraja radiata (thorny skate)
Lineage: Eukaryota; Metazoa; Chordata; Chondrichthyes; Rajiformes; Rajidae
Exons: 3
Source: RefSeq, a predicted model, not a curated record